This 376-nucleotide unclassified non-coding RNA is filed under the name uncultured Actinomycetes bacterium. RNAcentral's name for it is "uncultured actinobacterium contains 16S-23S intergenic spacer region". The record is from RNAcentral. Lineage: Bacteria; Bacillati; Actinomycetota; Actinomycetes.
UCCGAGUUGACCCCGGCAGUCUCCUAUGAGUCCCCGGCAUGACCCGCUGGCAACAUAGGACGAGGGUUGCGCUCGUUGCGGGACUUAACCCAACAUUUCACGACACGAGCUGACGACAACCAUGCACCACCUGUGCACGGCCCUUACGGACCCACCAUCUCUGGAGGAUUUCCGUGCAUGUCAAGCCUAGGUAAGGUUCUUCGCGUUGCGUCGAAUUAAGCCACAUGCUCCGCUGCUUGUGCGGGCCCCCGUCAAUUCCUUUGAGUUUUAGCCUUGCGGCCGUACUCCCCAGGCGGGGUACUUAAUGCGUUAGCGCCGGCACGGGAGGAGUCGACACCUCCCACACCUAGUGCCCAUCGUUUACGGCGUGGACUAC